CCUACGGGGGGCAGCAGUGGGGAAUAUUGCACAAUGGGCGCAAGCCUGAUGCAGCCAUGCCGCGUGUAUGAAGAAGGCCUUCGGGUUGUAAAGUACUUUCAGCGAGGAGGAAGGCAUUGUGGUUAAUAACCGCAGUGAUUGACGUUACUCGCAGAAGAAGCACCGGCUAACUCCGUGCCAGCAGCCGCGGUAAUACGGAGGGUGCAAGCGUUAAUCGGAAUUACUGGGCGUAAAGCGCACGCAGGCGGUCUGUCAAGUCGGAUGUGAAAUCCCCGGGCUCAACCUGGGAACUGCAUUCGAAACUGGCAGGCUAGAGUCUUGUAGAGGGGGGUAGAAUUCCAGGUGUAGCGGUGAAAUGCGUAGAGAUCUGGAGGAAUACCGGUGGCGAAGGCGGCCCCCUGGACAACGACUGACGCUCAGGUGCGAAAGCGUGGGGAGCAAACAGGAUUAGAUACCCCGGUAGUC
This 465-nucleotide ribosomal RNA is filed under the name uncultured bacterium. RNAcentral's name for it is "bacterial SSU rRNA". It matches the Rfam family "Bacterial small subunit ribosomal RNA", at positions 338 to 795 of the family's 1533-position model. The record is from RNAcentral.